Molecule: ribosomal RNA, 253 nt
Filed under: uncultured bacterium
Lineage: Bacteria
Description: partial 16S ribosomal RNA
Rfam family: Bacterial small subunit ribosomal RNA
Source: RNAcentral
UACAGAGGGUGCGAGCGUUAAUCGGAAUUACUGGGCGUAAAGCGCGUGUAGGCGGCUUGGCAAGUCGGGUGUGAAAGCCCUGGGCUUAACCUAGGAAGUGCACUCGAAACUGCCGAGCUUGAGUUCUGGAGAGGAAGGCGGAAUUCUCGGUGUAGAGGUGAAAUGCGUAGAUAUCUGGAGGAACACCGGUGGCGAAGGCGGCAUCCUGGACCGGUAUUGACGCUGAGGCGCGAAAGCCAGGGGAGCAAACGGG